GACGUAGUUCAGUUGGUUAGAGCGUCAGAUUGUGGUUCUGAAUGUCGUGGGUUCGAGUCCCACCUUCC
This 68-nucleotide transfer RNA is filed under the name uncultured Prevotella sp. It matches the Rfam family "tRNA". Rfam says of the family: Transfer RNA (tRNA) molecules are approximately 80 nucleotides in length. The record is from RNAcentral. Lineage: Bacteria; Pseudomonadati; Bacteroidota; Bacteroidia; Bacteroidales; Prevotellaceae.